GAUGAACGCUGGCGGCGUGCCUAAUACAUGCAAGUCGAGCGAACGGACGAGAAGCUUGCUUCUCUGAUGUUAGCGGCGGACGGGUGAGUAACACGUGGAUAACCUACCUAUAAGACUGGGAUAACUUCGGGAAACCGGAGCUAAUACCGGAUAAUAUUUUGAACCGCAUGGUUCAAAAGUGAAAGACGGUCUUGCUGUCACUUAUAGCUGGAUCCGCGCUGCAUUAGCUAGUUGGUAAGGUAACGGCUUACCAAGGCAACGAUGCAUAGCCGACCUGAGAGGGUGAUCGGCCACACUGGAACUGAGACACGGUCCAGACUCCUACGGGAGGCAGCAGUAGGGAAUCUUCCGCAAUGGGCGAAAGCCUGACGGAGCAACGCCGCGUGAGUGAUGAAGGUCUGCGGAUCGUAAAACUCUGUUAUUAGUGAAGAACAUAUGUGUAAGGAACUGUGCACAUCUUGACGGUACCUGAUCAGAAAGCCACGGCUAACUACGUG
Molecule: ribosomal RNA, 497 nt
Filed under: uncultured bacterium
Lineage: Bacteria
Description: partial 16S ribosomal RNA
Rfam family: Bacterial small subunit ribosomal RNA
Source: RNAcentral